UCUCACCUAGCCACUUGUCAUUUUCUAAUUAGUUCUUAGUGUGUUUCAAUUUUUUAACAACAAAUUAGAAAAUGACUAGUGAUUAGUUGAGA
RNAcentral lists this microRNA precursor (92 nucleotides) under Prunus persica (peach). RNAcentral's name for it is "MIR6288 microRNA precursor family". It matches the Rfam family "MIR6288 microRNA precursor family". The record is from Rfam by way of RNAcentral. Lineage: Eukaryota; Viridiplantae; Streptophyta; Magnoliopsida; Rosales; Rosaceae.